RNAcentral lists this non-coding RNA (18 nucleotides) under Arabidopsis thaliana (thale cress). Lineage: Eukaryota; Viridiplantae; Streptophyta; Magnoliopsida; Brassicales; Brassicaceae. The record is from RNAcentral.
GCAAGGGACCUUCAAGAU